ACUCCAGGACAAUUCAGAUGUCAAAAGGAAAUUAAAAUGCAUUGCAUUUGUUUAUCUUUUUUGAGUUGACUGAGAAGACAGACAGUAGGGUGUAAGUUGUGAUUUUUACCAAGGUAUAUCAGCCUGGGUGUAAUCAGGAGAGGGAAACCAAAUAGGAAUUACAGCAGGGAAAGCUUAAUAGAAAUAUGGCCAGGUGUGGCGACUUACACCUAUAAUCCCAGCACUUUGGGAGGCCAAGGCGGGUGGAUCACCUGAGGUCAGGGGUUCAAGACCAGCCUGGCCAAAGGCAAAACCCUGUCUCUAAUAAACAUACUAUUAAAAAAAAAAAAAAUUAGCUGGGCAUGGUGGCACACAUCUAUAGUCACAGCUACUCUGGAGGCUGAGGCAGGAGAAUUGCUUGAACCCAGGAGGCAGAGGUUGCAGUGAGCUGGGAUCAUGCCACUGCAUUCCAGCUGGGGAGACAGAAUGAGACUCUGCCUCAAAAAAAAAAAAAAAAAAAAAAAAAAAAAAAAAGGCCAGGUGCCGCGGCUUACGCCUGUAAUCCCAGCACUUUGGGAGGCCGAGAUGGGGUUUCACCGUGUUCGCCAGGAUGGUCUCGAUCUCUUGACCUCGUGAUCCGCCCACCUCGGCCUCCCAAAGUGCUGGGAUUACAGGAAUGAGCCACCGCGCCGGGCCAACCAGCCCCCUUUUAUAUGUUUGAUCUCAUCUCCUACUCUCUGCUCUUGCCACUAUGGCUUCCAUGCUGUUCCUUGAACCCAGCAAGCACACGCCUUCUUAGAUCUUAGUACUUGGUGUUUCCUCUACCUGAAAAAUUUUUCCUCCAAGGUAGCUACUUAGCCUUCUUCCUCGCUUCCUUCAGUACUAGCUCAAAUGUCAGUAAGGCUUUCCCUGACCACCGUUUUUUCUUUUCUCUACCAUUUCACUAUCUGCCAUAUAUUUACUUGUCUUCCCCUUACUUAGAAUGUAAGCUCCAUGUAAAUAUGUUUUGCUCAUAAUCCCUAGCACUUAAGAGUUCCCAGCACACAGUAAGGUGCACAAUAAAUACUCCAAUGAAUAUAUAACAGACUUUGCAGCUAACCAGGAUAUCUUGAGGUCGGAGGCUGCUGUUGUUUCUCCAGGCUCCCUCCGGAUGCGCUGUUGCCAGCCAGCGUUACUCAUUUCAUUCCCUAGGCAACAGUGGGCUUGGUAGAACUCUCUUCUAAAUCUCUUUUUCAUAGAAUUUAAAUUAUAAAUUGGUCAUUUACUGUUGUCGCACAAUAUUGCGUUGCUGAAUUUUCCACUGAUUAUAUUCAUUUUAUUUCCUUCCAGAACUUGGUUUCUUGUUUCUCUGCUCACUGUCCACACCCAUUCCACUCCAAGGCUGGAAUAAUUCUCUUGGAAAAAAAAAGUAAUCGUUUUCUUUGUAUUUCAUUGAACAUUCCCUUUACAGUGUUGGGUAAACCUGAAACAAAAGGAAACAAAAGUCUAAUAAUUCGUAAUACUCAGGCCUACUGGAUACAUAACAUCAUAGGGUAGCUGAAGACUCUGAGGCCAGAGCUUUAG
RNAcentral lists this long non-coding RNA (1542 nucleotides) under Papio anubis (olive baboon). Its description in RNAcentral is "lncRNA (ENSPANG00000040353.1)". Lineage: Eukaryota; Metazoa; Chordata; Mammalia; Primates; Cercopithecidae. The record is from RNAcentral.